CAGCAGCCGCGGGAAUACAGAGGGUGCGAGCGUUAAUCGGAUUUACUGGGCGUAAAGCGUGCGUAGGCGGUUUUUUAAGUCGGAUGUGAAAUCCCUGAGCUUAACUUAGGAAUUGCAUUCGAUACUGGGAAGCUAGAGUAUGGGAGAGGAUGGUAGAAUUCCAGGUGUAGCGGUGAAAUGCGUAGAGAUCUGGAGGAAUACCGAUGGCGAAGGCAGCCAUCUGGCCUAAUACUGACGCUGAGGUACGAAAGCAUGGGGAGCAAACAGGAUUAGAGACCCCUGUAGUCCCUGUCUCUUAUAC
RNAcentral lists this ribosomal RNA (301 nucleotides) under uncultured bacterium. Its description in RNAcentral is "partial 16S ribosomal RNA". It matches the Rfam family "Bacterial small subunit ribosomal RNA", at positions 509 to 807 of the family's 1533-position model. The record is from RNAcentral.